RNAcentral lists this ribosomal RNA (253 nucleotides) under uncultured bacterium. Its description in RNAcentral is "partial 16S ribosomal RNA". It matches the Rfam family "Bacterial small subunit ribosomal RNA", at positions 524 to 776 of the family's 1533-position model. The record is from RNAcentral.
UACGUAGGGGGCGAGCGUUGUCCGGAAUCAUUGGGCGUAAAGCGCGUGUAGGCGGCCCGGUAAGUCCGCUGUGAAAGUCCAGGGCUCAACCCUGGGAUGCCGGUGGAUACUGUCGGGCUCGAGUCCGGAAGAGGCGAGUGGAAUUCCUGGUGUAGCGGUGAAAUUCGUAGAUAUCAAGCAGAACACCUGCGGCGAAGGCGGCCUUCUGGACGAUGACUGACGCUGAGACGCGAAAGCGUGGGGAGCGAACAGG